CUUAAAGGAAUUGACGGGGGCCCGCACAAGCGGUGGAUUAUGUGGAUUAAUUCGAUGCAACGCGCAAAACCUUACCUGGCCUUGACAUGCCACUAACGAAGCAGAGAUGCAUUAGGUGCCCGAAAGGGAAAGUGGACACAGGUGCUGCAUGGCUGUCGUCAGCUCGUGUCGUGAGAUGUUGGGUUAAGUCCCGCAACGAGCGCAACCCUUGCCAAUAAUUGCCAUCAUUCAGUUGGGCACUUUAUUGGGACUGCCGGUGACAAACCGGAGGAAGGUGGGGAUGACGUCAAGUCCUCAUGGCCCUUAUGGCCAGGGCUUCACACGUAAUACAAUGGUCGGUACAGAGGGUUGCCAACCCGCGAGGGGGAGCCAAUCCCAGAAAGCCGAUCGUAGUCCGGAUUGCAGUCUGCAACUCGACUGCAUGAAGUCGGAAUCGCUAGUAAUCGCAGAUCAGCAUGUCGCGGUGAAUACGUUCCCGGCCCUUGUACACACCGGCCGUCACAC
Molecule: ribosomal RNA, 504 nt
Filed under: uncultured beta proteobacterium Kmlps0-1
Lineage: Bacteria; Pseudomonadati; Pseudomonadota; Betaproteobacteria
Description: bacterial SSU rRNA
Rfam family: Bacterial small subunit ribosomal RNA
Source: RNAcentral